Molecule: unclassified non-coding RNA, 271 nt
Filed under: uncultured fungus
Lineage: Eukaryota; Fungi
Description: partial contains 5.8S rRNA, ITS2 and 28S rRNA
Rfam family: Eukaryotic large subunit ribosomal RNA
Source: RNAcentral
AAGGAGUCUAACAAUUGUGCGAGUAGAAGGGUGGCAAACCCCGAUGCGUAAUGAAAGUGAGCGGUGGGAUCCGAAAGGUGCACCAUCGGCCGGCUUUGUCUGAGCAGGAGCACAUUUGUUAGGACCCGAAAGAUGGUGAACUAUGCCUGAAUAGGGUGAAGCCAGAGGAAACUCUGGUGGAGGCUCGUAGCGGUUCUGACGUGCAAAUCGAUCGUCAAAUUUGGGUAUAGGGGCGAAAGACUAAUCGAACCAUCUAGUAGCUGGUUCCCUC